RNAcentral lists this ribosomal RNA (1286 nucleotides) under metagenome. RNAcentral describes it as "bacterial SSU rRNA". It matches the Rfam family "Bacterial small subunit ribosomal RNA", at positions 242 to 1520 of the family's 1533-position model. The record is from RNAcentral.
UAGCUAGUUGGUGAGGUAAAGGCUUACCAAGGCGACGAUCUGUAGCGGGUCUGAGAGGAUGAUCCGCCACACUGGAACUGAGACACGGUCCAGACUCCUACGGGAGGCAGCAGUGGGGAAUUUUGGACAAUGGGGGCAACCCUGAUCCAGCCAUGCCGCGUGAGUGAAGAAGGCCUUCGGGUUGUAAAGCUCUUUCGGCCGGGAAGAAAUCGCAUGGGCCAAUACCCUGUGUGGAUGACGGUACCGGAAUAAGAAGCACCGGCUAACUACGUGCCAGCAGCCGCGGUAAUACGUAGGGUGCGAGCGUUAAUCGGAAUUACUGGGCGUAAAGCGUGCGCAGGCGGUUUUGUAAGACAGGCGUGAAAUUCCCGGGCUUAACCUGGGAACUGCGUUUGUGACUGCAAGGCUAGAGUACGGCAGAGGGGGGUGGAAUUCCACGUGUAGCAGUGAAAUGCGUAGAGAUGUGGAGGAACACCAAUGGCGAAGGCAGCCCCCUGGGUCGAUACUGACGCUCAUGCACGAAAGCGUGGGUAGCAAACAGGAUUAGAUACCCUGGUAGUCCACGCCCUAAACUAUGUCAACUAGGUGUUGGGUGGGUAAAACCAUUUAGUACCGUAGCUAACGCGUGAAGUUGACCGCCUGGGGAGUACGGCCGCAAGGUUAAAACUCAAAGGAAUUGACGGGGACCCGCACAAGCGGUGGAUGAUGUGGAUUAAUUCGAUGCAACGCGAAAAACCUUACCUACCCUUGACAUGCCAGGAACUUGCCAGAGAUGGCUUGGUGCCCGAAAGGGAGCCUGGACACAGGUGCUGCAUGGCUGUCGUCAGCUCGUGUCGUGAGAUGUUGGGUUAAGUCCCGCAACGAGCGCAACCCUUGUCGUUAAUUGCCAUCAUUUAGUUGGGCACUUUAACGAGACUGCCGGUGACAAACCGGAGGAAGGUGGGGAUGACGUCAAGUCCUCAUGGCCCUUAUGGGUAGGGCUUCACACGUCAUACAAUGGUCGGUACAAAGGGUUGCCAAGCCGCGAGGCGGAGCCAAUCCCAGAAAGCCGAUCGUAGUCCGGAUUGCAGGCUGCAACUCGCCUGCAUGAAGUCGGAAUCGCUAGUAAUCGUGGAUCAGCAUGUCACGGUGAAUACGUUCCCGGGUCUUGUACACACCGCCCGUCACACCAUGGGAGCGGGUUCCGCCAGGAGUAGGUAGCCUAACCGCAAGGGGGGCGCUUACCACGGCGGGGUUCGUGACUGGGGUGAAGUCGAACAAGGUAGCCGUAGGGGAACCUGCGGCUG